RNAcentral lists this transfer RNA (64 nucleotides) under Talbotia naganum. Its description in RNAcentral is "Talbotia nagana tRNA-Ala". The record is from RNAcentral. Lineage: Eukaryota; Metazoa; Arthropoda; Insecta; Lepidoptera; Pieridae.
AGGAAAAUAGUUUAAAAAAAACAUUUGAUUUGCAUUCAAAAAAUAUUAAAAUUUAAUUUUUCUU